Molecule: ribosomal RNA, 510 nt
Filed under: uncultured bacterium
Lineage: Bacteria
Description: bacterial SSU rRNA
Rfam family: Bacterial small subunit ribosomal RNA
Source: RNAcentral
GAUGAACGCUAGCGAUAGGCCUAACACAUGCAAGUCGAGGGGCAUCACAUGAAGUAGCAAUACGGAUGGUGGCGACCGGCGCACGGGUGAGUAACACGUAUGCAACCUGCCUUCAACAAGGGGAUAACCCGUUGAAAGACGGACUAAUACCCUAUAACACAGGGGUCCCGCAUGGGAAUAUUUGUUAAAGGACAACCGGUUGAAGAUGGGCAUGCGUUCCAUUAGCCUAGUUGGCGGGGUAACGGCCCACCAAGGCAACGAUGGAUAGGGGGAACUGAGAGGUUUAUCCCCCACACUGGUACUGAGACACGGACCAGACUCCUACGGGAGGGCAGCAGUGAGGAAUAUUGGUCAAUGGACGCAAGUCUGAACCAGCCACGUCGCGUGAAGGAAGACGGCCCUACGGGUUGUAAACUUCUUUUAUACGGGAAUAAAGUGCCCCACGCGUGGGGUUUUGCAUGUACCGUAUGAAUAAGGAUCGCUAACUCCGUGCCAGCAGCCGCGGUAAGU